RNAcentral lists this long non-coding RNA (903 nucleotides) under Mytilus galloprovincialis (Mediterranean mussel). Lineage: Eukaryota; Metazoa; Mollusca; Bivalvia; Mytilida; Mytilidae. The record is from RNAcentral.
UGUAUAUACUGGAAAUUCAGAAAUUAUUGCGAGGUUUUUAUUAUUGCGAAAAAUGUGACAGAGUUGUAAACGCAAUAAUUUAAACUCGCAUUUUGAAAUAUUUUGUAUGAAUUAAACAGGAUUUAUCAUAAAAUCGUAAAAAUAAAAAUCGCAUUUCAGUCAAAAAUGACAAAAUCGCAAUAAGAAAUGAACGCAAUAAUUUCUGAAUUUACAGUAUUCGUAUUGAGAUAAUCUUGCCAAUCUUAUAUUUUUUUUUAUCUAUUUUGAUAACACAGAAAACGGUAAUUGUAAAACUUAAACAUUUCUCAACCAAAACAUAUUGCUGAUAAAGGAAAACACGUCAUAAAUUCAUUUUCCGAAGUGAACACUCAAAAUGCAGGCGCAGAUCUGCUACGUUAAAUGAAAAAUGGAACAUUUCUUUAUCAAUUUCAUGAGGCCAUAGUACAUUACUCUAUAUUCCUUCAUCAGCAAUGUUCUUAUCCGAAUAUUUUAAAGCCAAUGAUGCAUAAGGACUGUAACAUGUGCUAGGUUAGACAUUUUUAUUACCAUAAAACCAGCAUUUAAUCUGUGUCCAGUGUGUGUCAUAUGCGCUUCGUUAUAAUUGCAUCUUAAUUUAGCGAGGAAGUGUUGUCUGUUGAAUGAUUAGCAUGUUACUUUUUGGACAUUGUGUUGAUCUAUAUGCGGCUUUCAUUCAAUAUGAUAUUUCUUCUCAAUUGUUAUUGCUAUAUGUGGAAUUCCUCAAAUUUGUGUAUACAAUUCAUAGGGAUUUUGCAAUCGUGUGUUGUAGAUUUUGAUGCAUGAACAUGCAUCUUCAUCCGAUUGCUGGUAAUAUGAUGUCUAUAACCUGAAUAACUUGUAAAUAUUCCUUGUUAUAUUGGAGAAAUAAAAAAAUUCAACUCAACG